AAAUUGAAGAGUUUGAUCAUGGCUCAGAUUGAACGCUGGCGGCAGGCCUAACACAUGCAAGUCGAGCGGUAGCACAGAGAGCUUGCUCUCGGGUGACGAGCGGCGGACGGGUGAGUAAUGUCUGGGAAACUGCCUGAUGGAGGGGGAUAACUACUGGAAACGGUAGCUAAUACCGCAUAACGUCGCAAGACCAAAGUGGGGGACCUUCGGGCCUCAUGCCAUCAGAUGUGCCCAGAUGGGAUUAGCUAGUAGGUGGGGUAAUGGCUCACCUAGGCGACGAUCCCUAGCUGGUCUGAGAGGAUGACCAGCCACACUGGAACUGAGACACGGUCCAGACUCCUACGGGAGGCAGCAGUGGGGAAUAUUGCACAAUGGGCGCAAGCCUGAUGCAGCCAUGCCGCGUGUAUGAAGAAGGCCUUCGGGUUGUAAAGUACUUUCAGCGAGGAGGAAGGCGUUAAGGUUAAUAACCUUAGCGAUUGACGUUACUCGCAGAAGAAGCACCGGCUAACUCCGUGCCAGCAGCCGCGGUAAUACGGAGGGUGCAAGCGUUAAUCGGAAUUACUGGGCGUAAAGCGCACGCAGGCGGUCUGUCAAGUCGGAUGUGAAAUCCCCGGGCUCAACCUGGGAACUGCAUUCGAAACUGGCAGGCUAGAGUCUUGUAGAGGGGGGUAGAAUUCCAGGUGUAGCGGUGAAAUGCGUAGAGAUCUGGAGGAAUACCGGUGGCGAAGGCGGCCCCCUGGACAAAGACUGACGCUCAGGUGCGAAAGCGUGGGGAGCAAACAGGAUUAGAUACCCUGGUAGUCCACGCCGUAAACGAUGUCGACUUGGAGGUUGUGCCCUUGAGGCGUGGCUUCCGGAGCUAACGCGUUAAGUCGACCGCCUGGGGAGUACGGCCGCAAGGUUAAAACUCAAAUGAAUUGACGGGGGCCCGCACAAGCGGUGGAGCAUGUGGUUUAAUUCGAUGCAACGCGAAGAACCUUACCUACUCUUGACAUCCAGAGAACUUAGCAGAGAUGCUUUGGUGCCUUCGGGAACUCUGAGACAGGUGCUGCAUGGCUGUCGUCAGCUCGUGUUGUGAAAUGUUGGGUUAAGUCCCGCAACGAGCGCAACCCUUAUCCUUUGUUGCCAGCGGUCCGGCCGGGAACUCAAAGGAGACUGCCAGUGAUAAACUGGAGGAAGGUGGGGAUGACGUCAAGUCAUCAUGGCCCUUACGAGUAGGGCUACACACGUGCUACAAUGGCAUAUACAAAGAGAAGCGACCUCGCGAGAGCAAGCGGACCUCAUAAAGUAUGUCGUAGUCCGGAUUGGAGUCUGCAACUCGACUCCAUGAAGUCGGAAUCGCUAGUAAUCGUAGAUCAGAAUGCUACGGUGAAUACGUUCCCGGGCCUUGUACACACCGCCCGUCACACCAUGGGAGUGGGUUGCAAAAGAAGUAGGUAGCUUAACCUUCGGGAGGGCGCUUACCACUUUGUGAUUCAUGACUGGGGUGAAGUCGUAACAAGGUAACCGUAGGGGAACCUGCGGUUGGAUCACCUCCUUACCUUAAAGAA
Molecule: ribosomal RNA, 1550 nt
Filed under: Klebsiella aerogenes
Lineage: Bacteria; Pseudomonadati; Pseudomonadota; Gammaproteobacteria; Enterobacterales; Enterobacteriaceae
Description: bacterial SSU rRNA
Rfam family: Bacterial small subunit ribosomal RNA
Source: RNAcentral